UUUGAGAAUCAAACAAACGGAGAUACGGAGCAUGGAAAAUAAAACCUUCUCCCUUUCCCUGCAGGCCCUCCCUUUCCCACGUUUGGGCUUUUGCACUUCAGCAGAACAGCACAGGUCAAGUGUGUUUUACUGGGAAAACAGUGGGAAGGAGCAAAAUGUGGGAGCCUGGAGCAAGGAGGGUUUCCCUGGCAUUUCAUUCCAGGGUGAUUUAUAGGAUAUAAAGGCACCUGAGUUAUGACAGAUGAAUGGACUUGGAUAAAGAGACCCUCUU
This 271-nucleotide long non-coding RNA is filed under the name Phasianus colchicus (ring-necked pheasant). Its description in RNAcentral is "lncRNA (ENSPCLG00000009704.1)". Lineage: Eukaryota; Metazoa; Chordata; Aves; Galliformes; Phasianidae. The record is from RNAcentral.